GUACAUAAUGUAUACUCUAAAUUAGACCCUGCAUCACCAACAGUUGGCCAAUUUGGAAAUGAGCUAACAUGGUUUAAAGAUGCAAGAAGAACUUUUGGAGAACCAACAUCAAUUGUUGCUCGAACAACAAUGUCUCAUAGUGAGUGUAAACAUAUUUCACUAUAAGUUUAUAAUAGAAUUUGUUCGAGUUA
Malus domestica (apple) is the source of this 191-nucleotide non-coding RNA. The record is from RefSeq and is a predicted model, not a curated record. Lineage: Eukaryota; Viridiplantae; Streptophyta; Magnoliopsida; Rosales; Rosaceae.